This 363-nucleotide ribosomal RNA is filed under the name uncultured Pelotomaculum sp. RNAcentral describes it as "bacterial SSU rRNA". It matches the Rfam family "Bacterial small subunit ribosomal RNA", at positions 1019 to 1382 of the family's 1533-position model. The record is from RNAcentral. Lineage: Bacteria; Bacillati; Bacillota; Clostridia; Eubacteriales; Desulfotomaculaceae.
UCGGGUGACAGGGAGACAGGUGGUGCAUGGUUGUCGUCAGCUCGUGUCGUGAGAUGUUGGGUUAAGUCCCGCAACGAGCGCAACCCCUACGUUUAGUUGCUAACGCGUGAAGGCGAGCACUCUAGACGAACUGCCGUUGACAAAACGGAGGAAGUGGGGAUGACGUCAAAUCAUCAUGCCCCUUAUGUUCUGGGCUACACACGUGCUACAAUGGCCGGUACAGACGGACGCAAAGCCGCGAGGUGGAGCAAAUCCUAAAAAGCCGGUCUCAGUUCGGAUUGCAGGCUGCAAUUCGCCUGCAUGAAGUCGGAAUCGCUAGUAAUCGCAGGUCAGCAUACUGCGGUGAAUACGUUCCCGGGCCUU